UUGAUCAUGGCUCAGGAUGAACGCUGGCGGCGUGCUUAACACAUGCAAGUCGAACGAACCUUCGGGUUAGUGGCGGACGGGUGAGUAACGCGUGAGAAUCUGCCCUCAGGAGGGGGAUAACGGUUGGAAACGACCGCUAAUACCCCAUAUGCCUACUGGUGAAAUGAAUUUCGCCUGAGGAUGAGCUCGCGUCUGAUUAGCUAGUUGGUGAGGUAAUGGCUCACCAAGGCUUCGAUCAGUAGCUGGUCUGAGAGGAUGAUCAGCCACACUGGGACUGAGACACGGCCCAGACUCCUACGGGAGGCAGCAGUGGGGAAUUUUCCGCAAUGGGCGAAAGCCUGACGGAGCAACGCCGCGUGAGGGACGAAGGCCUCUGGGCUGUAAACCUCUUUUCUCAAGGAAGAAGAUAUGACGGUACUUGAGGAAUAAGCCACGGCUAAUUCCGUGCCAGCAGCCGCGGUAAUACGGGAGUGGCAAGCGUUAUCCGGAAUUAUUGGGCGUAAAGCGUCCGCAGGCGGCUUUUCAAGUCUGCUGUUAAAGCGUGGAGCUUAACUCCAUCAUGGCAGUGGAAACUGAAAGGCUUGAGUAUGGUAGGGGCAGAGGGAAUUCCCGGUGUAGCGGUGAAAUGCGUAGAUAUCGGGAAGAACACCAGUGGCGAAGGCGCUCUGCUGGGCCAUUACUGACGCUCAUGGACGAAAGCCAGGGGAGCGAAAGGGAUUAGAUACCCCUGUAGUCCUGGCCGUAAACGAUGAACACUAGGUGUCGGGGGAAUCGACCCCUUCGGUGUCGUAGCUAACGCGUUAAGUGUUCCGCCUGGGGAGUACGCACGCAAGUGUGAAACUCAAAGGAAUUGACAGGGGCCCGCACAAGCGGUGGAGUAUGUGGUUUAAUUCGAUGCAACGCGAAGAACCUUACCAGGGUUUGACAUCCUGCGAACCUCUUAGAAAUUUGAGGGUGCCUUCGGGAAUGCAGUGACAGGUGGUGCAUGGCUGUCGUCAGCUCGUGUCGUGAGAUGUUGGGUUAAGUCCCGCAACGAGCGCAACCCACGUUUUUAGUUGCCAGCAUUUAGUUGGGCACUCUAGAAAGACCGCCGGUGAUAAACCGGAGGAAGGUGUGGAUGACGUCAAGUCAUCAUGCCCCUUACACCCUGGGCUACACACGUACUACAAUGCUACGGACAAAGGGCAGCAAACUCGCGAGAGCUAGCAAAUCCCAUAAACCGUGGCUCAGUUCAGAUCGUAGGCUGCAACUCGCCUACGUGAAGUAGGAAUCGCUAGUAAUCGCAGGUCAGCAUACUGCGGUGAAUACGUUCCCGGGCCUUGUACACACCGCCCGUCACACCAUGGAAGUUGGCCAUGCCCGAAGUCGUUACUCCAACCCUUGUGGAGGAGGACGCCGAAGGUGGGGCUAAUGACUGGGGUGAAGUCGUAACAAGGUAACCGUA
This 1444-nucleotide ribosomal RNA is filed under the name uncultured bacterium. Its description in RNAcentral is "16S ribosomal RNA". It matches the Rfam family "Bacterial small subunit ribosomal RNA". The record is from RNAcentral.